This 27-nucleotide small RNA is filed under the name Bombyx mori (domestic silkworm). RNAcentral's name for it is "ovarian small RNA-37017". Lineage: Eukaryota; Metazoa; Arthropoda; Insecta; Lepidoptera; Bombycidae. The record is from RNAcentral.
UUCAGACGUGAAUACUGCGCGUACUGC